GACGAACGCUGGCGGCGUGCCUAAUACAUUGCAAGUCGAGCGAAGUUUUUCUGGUGCUUGCACUAGAAAAACUUAGCGGCGAACGGGUGAGUAACACGUAAAGAACCUGCCUCAUAGACUGGGACAACUAUUGGAAACGAUAGCUAAUACCGGAUAACAGUAUUUCUCGCAUGAGAGAUAUUUAAAAGUUGGUUAUGCUAACACUAUGAGAUGGCUUUGCGGUGCAUUAGCUAGUUGGUGGGGUAAAGGCCCACCAAGGCGACGAUGCAUAGCCGACCUGAGAGGGUGAUCGGCCACACUGGGACUGAGACACGGCCCAGACUCCUACGGGAGGCAGCAGUAGGGAAUCUUCCGCAAUGGGCGAAAGCCUGACGGAGCAACGCCGCGUGAGUGAAGAAGGAUUUCGGUUCGUAAAGCUCUGUUGUUAGGGAAGAAUGGAUAUGUAGUAACUAUACAUAUAAGAGACG
This 467-nucleotide ribosomal RNA is filed under the name Gemella morbillorum. RNAcentral describes it as "bacterial SSU rRNA". It matches the Rfam family "Bacterial small subunit ribosomal RNA", at positions 28 to 474 of the family's 1533-position model. Lineage: Bacteria; Bacillati; Bacillota; Bacilli; Caryophanales; Gemellaceae. The record is from RNAcentral.